CAAUAGCGUAUAUUAAAGUUGUUGCAGUUAAAAAGCUCGUAGUUGGAUUUGUGGCGUACGGUGUGUUCCGGGCACUUGUUGUCUGAGUAACCUGCUGUUGCCAUCCUUGGGUGGAACCUGUGUGGCAUUAGGUUGUCGUGCAAGGGAUGCCCAUCAUUUACUGUGAAAAAAUUAGAGUGUUCAAAGCAGGCUUAUGCCGUUGAAUAUAUUAGCAUGGAAUAAUGAGAUAGGACUUUUUUGCUAUUUUGUUGGUUUGCGCAAAGAGGUAAUGAUUAAUAGGGACAGUUGGGGGUAUUCGUAUUCCAUUGUCAGAGGUGAAAUUCUUGGAUUUUUGGAAGACGAACUACUGCGAAAGCAUUUACCAAGGAUGUUUUCAUUAA
This 380-nucleotide ribosomal RNA is filed under the name uncultured eukaryote. Its description in RNAcentral is "partial 18S ribosomal RNA". It matches the Rfam family "Eukaryotic small subunit ribosomal RNA", at positions 592 to 976 of the family's 1831-position model. The record is from RNAcentral.